Molecule: transfer RNA, 69 nt
Filed under: Anombrocheir bifurcata
Lineage: Eukaryota; Metazoa; Arthropoda; Diplopoda; Polydesmida; Xystodesmidae
Description: tRNA-Val
Source: RNAcentral
CAUAUUAAAGUUUAUUAUAGAAUUUUUCUGUUACAAUGAAAGGGGCUCAUUAUUUGGGUAAUAUGAAAA